UGGCUCAGAACGAACGCUGGCGGCAGGCUUAACACAUGCAAGUCGAGCGGGCGUAGCAAUACGUCAGCGGCAGACGGGUGAGUAACGCGUGGGAACGUACCUUUUGGUUCGGAACAACCCAGGGAAACUUGGGCUAAUACCGGAUAAGCCCUUACGGGGAAAGAUUCAUCGCCGAAGGAUCGGCCCGCGUCUGAUUAGCUAGUUGGUGGGGUAACGGCCCACCAAGGCGAGGAUCAGUAGCUGGUCUGAGAGGAUGAUCAGCCUCACUGGGACUGAGUCACGGCCCAGAGAAAUACGGGAGGCAGC
Molecule: ribosomal RNA, 306 nt
Filed under: uncultured Hyphomicrobiales bacterium
Lineage: Bacteria; Pseudomonadati; Pseudomonadota; Alphaproteobacteria; Hyphomicrobiales
Description: bacterial SSU rRNA
Rfam family: Bacterial small subunit ribosomal RNA
Source: RNAcentral